Long non-coding RNA from Spinacia oleracea (spinach), 894 nucleotides. RefSeq lists it as uncharacterized. The record is from RefSeq and is a predicted model, not a curated record. NCBI's taxonomy places the organism in Eukaryota, Viridiplantae, Streptophyta, Magnoliopsida, Caryophyllales, Amaranthaceae. The transcript is spliced from 4 exons.
CGCCAUUAACCUUCCCCAACAUACUUUAAAAUACACUAUACCCUAAUUCCACCUACCCACCAUUAGCCGCCCCCUACCUUUCUCUCUCUUUUACAGUUAUUUUUUUCUCUUUAUCUCUCUCUCUUCCCUUGAACACUUCUACUUCUCAAGAGUUCAUUUCAUCAAUAAAUCAAUCACAUAUUUUUUUAUAUAUAUAAUUUUUGUUUGGUGUUUUAUUGAUAAUGCGUUGGCUAACUAUCAAAUGGAUAGAGACCGAUCAUUUUACAUCCGAGACAGUCCCCCAACAAUUAAAAAAAACUAGGAAAUGCAGAUUCUCUUCUACAGCCAGGCUAGAAAUUCGUCAGUUCGAGCAAGGCCUUGCUUGGCCAUUGAGUCAGCCACGAAGUUUGAGUUCCGGCUCUUGUGGAUGAUUUUAAUUUCACUCCCUGGUUCAUCACGUCUUCCACUAAUUUGCUCAUCGGAGAGCCUAUUCGUGUGUAAUCAAUCCCUGAACCAUCUAAAUUUAUUUGCAGCAGUUCUUCCUUGAAAUGAACUCUUGAUCCGUGUCCGUUGAAGUAAUUUCAAGUUUUCUUAAAGACGGACUCGUUUUCAGAAGCUCUUUUAAGUUUUGGUGCAAAAUCUGCUAGUGGAUGAAAACGAGGAUUACCAGGACUCUGAUGAGAUUGAUUGAAGAGUAUGAAGAUACAAGAGAUUGCAAGACCUUCAAUCGCCAUUCGUGAUUUUGAUCUUCUAUAUCUUUAUUAUUUUGCAUUUGAGUUUUAUUGUAAUUUUUGUACAAAUAUAAAAGAUUCUAUGUUGUAUAAUGAGAUUAUUCCGAUUUACAAAUCGCGUUGUAAAUGAUAUACUUGUAUUACUUUUCCUCAAAUUUUGUUAUUUCGACGCUUUUCCCUUUGA